AGGAUAGUAGUUUAAACUAAAAAUAUUAGAUUUCGGGUCUUAAGAUCCUCAGAGGGGGUUAUUCUU
This 66-nucleotide transfer RNA is filed under the name Botrylloides nigrum. RNAcentral describes it as "transfer RNA-Arg". Lineage: Eukaryota; Metazoa; Chordata; Ascidiacea; Stolidobranchia; Styelidae. The record is from RNAcentral.